Molecule: long non-coding RNA, 1343 nt
Filed under: Callithrix jacchus (white-tufted-ear marmoset)
Lineage: Eukaryota; Metazoa; Chordata; Mammalia; Primates; Cebidae
Description: lncRNA (ENSCJAG00000069028.2)
Source: RNAcentral
CAGCAAAUUAACAUAUAUAUCAAUCACAUCACAUGUUUAUGAUUUUCUUAGGGGGUGCAAACACCUAAAGUCCACUCUCUUAGCAAUUUUUAAGUACAAUUUAUAGAGCUGUAGUCACCAUGAUAUACAAUAUAUUUCUUGUCUGUGGAAUUUUGUGUCCUUUGACCAACAUCUCCCAAUCUCCCUACACCCAUAGCACUUCAUUUUAAAUGCAUAGAUAUGACCUAUUUUUCUAAAAACAAUAGUUGUUUCAUAAUGGUGCUGUUACAUUGUAUUACUGAAAGGAUAUUACCACAUUCAUUACCAAAAAUAAUAAAAGGCAUUUAUUGCCUGAUAAUAGCCACUCCCUCAUAUACCCAGUGGCAUGGUUAUAUAAAUUAAUACAGAUUACACCCUUAAUUAAUUUUGCCACUGAAUAUCCACAGAGAAAAAGAAAGCUUAAGGGUAAAAAUAUAUAGUCAUUUUGAAGUACUUCAGAAUCACUGUCUUCUUAAAAUAUUUCCAAAUACUAAAGGAAAUAGUAGACAUUACUAAAGUCAUGGCUAUAUUCUGAGCAUACAUAUAUUUGGAGAAAGAAUUAUCUAUGCUUAGGCGUAUAGGCAUUAAUUUACUAAAUGGGAGGAAGUUUUCUUAGUGAAAGCCUACUUUAAGGCCUGAAUUGUUCAGUAUUAUUUCUUAUAUGGUCAUAUUUAGCUGGAAUUUUUUUUCCAAAUUUCCACUCUGAUUCACUGUGACAAUACACUGCAUGAGCCAUAUAAAAUGACAUAUAAUGUUUUUAAAUUUUUGUUCCAGUGUUUUAAAUUUUUUGGAUAAUGCUAUGAGUUGAAUUAUUUUAAAAAUUAGUUGGCUCAUGCCUCUGCUAAGGAAAGAUGAAACAAUGAUACCACCUGAGGAGGUUUAAUUUUAUAGUCCACAACUGAACUUUCAUUUUCAGAUAUGACGUGUGGCAUUUAUAGUAUGAAGUUAAGAACAAAAAUUAAAAAUGCUUCUGUUUGACGACUACUAUUUGCACUUCCCUUCUGCUGAGGUCACUCUCCAUGGCUUUGAGGUCUGCUUUCCAAGGGGAAAGAGAAUGGUUUCCUGCCUAAAUUCAGAAUUGAUGCUCACUGACCCAAUUCCUUGUGUUCCUUCUAACUCCUGUGUAGUCCAUACCCUCGCUUAGCUUCGAUAUGCGAAAUUGUUCUUCCUGUAAUCCAUUUCGAAAAUAACUUUCUGCUGGGCCUUGCUGGACUUGGAGAGGUUGCCGUGACUUUCUCUGAAAACUGAAAAAAUAAAUAAAUAAAUAAAUAAAGGUCUAGUACUAUGACCAUUGCGAAAUUUAAAAGUGUCAAAAUGACCGGGUA